RNAcentral lists this ribosomal RNA (449 nucleotides) under uncultured bacterium. Its description in RNAcentral is "partial 16S ribosomal RNA". It matches the Rfam family "Bacterial small subunit ribosomal RNA", at positions 29 to 523 of the family's 1533-position model. The record is from RNAcentral.
AACGAACGCUGGCGGCAUGCCUAACACAUGCAAGUCGAACGAAGCCUUCGGGCUUAGUGGCGCACGGGUGCGUAACGCGUGGGAAUCUGCCCUUUGGUUCGGAAUAACAGUUGGAAACGACUGCUAAUACCGGAUGAUGACGAAAGUCCAAAGAUUUAUCGCCAGAGGAUGAGCCCGCGUAGGAUUAGCUAGUUGGUGUGGUAAAGGCGCACCAAGGCGACGAUCCUUAGCUGGUCUGAGAGGAUGAUCAGCCACACUGGGACUGAGACACGGCCCAGACUCCUACGGGAGGCAGCGGUGGGGAAUAUUGGACAAUGGGCGAAAGCCUGAUCCAGCAAUGCCGCGUGAGUGAUGAAGGCCCUAGGGUAGUAAAGCUCUUUUACCCGGGAUGAUAAUGACAGUACCGGGAGAAUAAGCCCCGGCUAACUCCGUGCCAGCCGCCGCGGUAA